GGACCUAUGGUGUAGCCCGGUUUAACACAUCCCCCUGUCACGGGGAAGAUCAGGGGUUCAAAUCCCCUUGGGUCCGCCA
Molecule: transfer RNA, 79 nt
Filed under: Parcubacteria group bacterium CG1_02_36_42
Lineage: Bacteria
Also listed under: 1 other name
Description: tRNA-Asp
Rfam family: tRNA
About the family: Transfer RNA (tRNA) molecules are approximately 80 nucleotides in length. Their secondary structure includes four short double-helical elements and three loops (D, anti-codon, and T loops).
Source: RNAcentral